GUAGGUGGCAAGCGUUGUCCGGAAUUAUUGGGCGUAAAGCGCGCGCAGGCGGUUCUUUAAGUCUGAUGUGAAAGCCCACGGCUCAACCGUGGAGGGUCAUUGGAAACUGGAGAACUUGAGUACAGAAGAGGAAAGCGGAAUUCCACGUGUAGCGGUGAAAUGCGUAGAGAUGUGGAGGAACACCAGUGGCGAAGGCGGCUUUCUGGUCUGUAACUGACGCUGAGGCGCGAAAGCGUGGGGAGCAAACAGGGAUUAGAUACCCUGGCAGUCCACGCCGUAAGCGAUGAGUGCUAAGUGUUAGGGGGUUUCCGCCCCUUAGUGCUGCAGCUAACGCAUUAAGCACUCCGCCUGGGAGUACGGCCGCAAGGCUG
Molecule: ribosomal RNA, 371 nt
Filed under: uncultured organism
Description: partial 16S ribosomal RNA
Rfam family: Bacterial small subunit ribosomal RNA
Source: RNAcentral